Brienomyrus brachyistius is the source of this 1233-nucleotide long non-coding RNA. RefSeq lists it as uncharacterized. The record is from RefSeq and is a predicted model, not a curated record. The transcript is spliced from 5 exons. Lineage: Eukaryota; Metazoa; Chordata; Actinopteri; Osteoglossiformes; Mormyridae.
UAACGGGAUAACUAUAAGGAAGAGAUUAUUUAACAAUCUUGUUUUGUUGAAGAUCCUAUUCAAUGUACGUAGGUUGUGCUUUUUUUUGUUCGCAUUAUUGGAAGCUCUUGUGAAUUUUGUUUUUUUGUCGCCAUGCUUACUUAAAACGGCAAGUUUUACCCUCUGAGGAGAGUGCCUUCUUGAAGAUUUCAUUCAGCACAAAGUACGGUAGCCUGAAAAGAGAAGACCGUCUACAAAGGCAAGGGCAAUAUCGUCAAAGAAUUCACCAGGCUGAUGUCUAUGGACCUCACUUUGUUCUAUGAGCGUUUGGACAGUCACCUGCUCAGACUUCUUCAGUUGUUGAGGUCAAAGCGCUUUGAGGGGAGUAAAGAAAUGACAUCCUUACUGGAGAGCCUUGACAAGGAUGUAUCAAACCAAAAGAAGAGGGCAACAGCUUUGCAUGGUCUACCGUGGUACAUGAAGGAAAAUCCAUCUGCAUUCAUGAAGAUGUGUGAGCCCACGGAUCCUGAGGAGGAUGUCAUCAGGGGAAUGCUCACUGGAAUACUCUUAGUUGCUGAGGAUGUGAAGGAGCCCCUUCCAGCUUCCUACAAUGAUAUUGCCAUUGUGGUUGAAGAAAUUAUUGUCAUUCGCCACUUGCGAGAUGUACCCAGUGCUUUUGUCAAUCUGAUGGGACUGCUGUACAUUCUGAACAUUGACUAUCCAAAAGACUUGAAGUACACUUUUGAAGUAAUUCAACGACUAUUCAUGGGAAUAGGGCUGGACGCAUGCACUGCCAGAGUCCACUCUCUGAAGAAUAAAUUGUUCAUUUAAUUAGAUAAUGCAAGCAUCUUCAUUGGUUAUGUUUUGAUUUUCUGUGUCUUGAUGUUCUUGCUGAUCUUUGAAGCAAAUGUGUCUAUAUACUUACUUAUAUUUACUUAUACACUUUAUGUAUUUCAGCCCUAUUCCCGUGAACAGAGGCAUUUUUGUAAUAUUUAAAGUAUCUCUUUAAUGUAUCAGCAAGACACUAUAUUAUUUUUAUUAUUAUUUUUUGGCAGCUGUACAAUUGACAUUUAAUAUUUUUUGUUGUGGCUGCUCUGUUCAGAGGAAAUGUGUCUCUGAGACACAAUUUUAUUUGGUUUUAAAGGAGCCUUGAACGGAGUUUACAUUUGAGCAGUACCUAUACUUUUGAUGUUAAGAUAGUUGACCAUGUGUCUUAGUUGACAUUUGUCUGCAGUUGAGAAUAAAUAUUCCAGA